Long non-coding RNA from Salmo salar (Atlantic salmon), 3568 nucleotides. RefSeq lists it as uncharacterized. NCBI's taxonomy places the organism in Eukaryota, Metazoa, Chordata, Actinopteri, Salmoniformes, Salmonidae. The record is from RefSeq and is a predicted model, not a curated record.
GAGCGCUCCUGUUGCCAUUGUAUAAAGUUGUGUUAGGAGUUGAGACGUGCAGUGCAGUCAGGGGGGAUGUAUGAAUUAUGGAUGGGGGAUCCGUGCUCAGAGGAAAGCCUGCUUCUGUCUAUGUGCUGAUGGUGAUACUAACGGGAGAGUGGAGGAGGAAAGGGGACAACCUCAGGGAACCUGCCCAUUCUUGCUGACAUGAGUUGGGACAAGAUUUAGUGGUGGAGAAGUGAGGCAUUUUGUCGUGCCGUUAUAUUCCCAGGGCAUGGCACCUCAACACCACCAUGCAGUGUCUGAGCAGGAACAUAGUCUUCCUAUCCUAUUCACAGAGCGCAGCCAUCACCUCUAUAGCACAGCCUGUUCUCUCCACACUACACCUCAGCUUGUCCCCAUUCCACAGCUAUUACUGAACUGAGCCCUACUCAAGAUGAGACAAAGCAGUAAGAACUAGGCAAUAACACGAGGAAACUAUUAAAAAAAAGUCCCUCAGCACAUUUGAAUGAACAGAGUAGCUGUGGACUGGAUGAUACUGCAACAGAGGAGCUGGGUACUGCAACAGAGGAGCUGGGUACUGCAACAGAGGAGCUGUGGACUGCAACAGAGGAGCUGUGGACUGCAACAGAGGAGCUGUGGACUGCAACAGAGGAGCUGUGGACUGGAUGAUACUACAACAGAGGAGCUGUGGACUGCAACAGAGGAGCUGUGGACUGCAACAGAGGAGCUGUGGACUGCAACAGAGGAGCUGUGGACUGCAACAGAGGAGCUGUGGACUGGAUGAUAAUGCAACAGAGGAGCUGUGGACUACAACAGAGGAGCUGUGGACUGCAACAGAGGAGCUGUGGACUGGAUGUGAAUGGAUACAUCUCUGUGAUGGGUUGCUAGGCUAUGAAGGGGUUUUAGGUGCACCAGGGGAAAUCACCUUCACCCAGAAAUGUAUAUGUUUAUAUCACUUACCUUUAUGAACAGGUCCAGAGUUGGUGAGGGUGAAGAGGCAGCGCCAGAGAAAAAAGAGAAAGAGAGAGAUGCUUAGAGAAAUGUAAAGAAUCAUCAUAGAACAAACUGGAAACUAUAUACAGUACAUACAUGGGAGAACAAAUCUGUGUGUUUGUGUGUCCAUAGGUAGGUGAGCAAACUGCCCAGUGCCCAUUCUCCACAGUCACACUCAUCUCUCCUUCACACACACACACUUCUCACCCAUCCACCCGACCAUGACAGACAAAGCUCCUGAAGAAAAGAGGGAGGUGUGUUGUUCAGGCCCUCUCCCCACAAAAGCCUGCUUGUCUCCUUACACUUAAGAGCCAUUAAAAGCACAUUGACCCUGUGUCCUGACGUACGUGCGCUUGGCGUGCUGCCUCAAUGGCCACACACUCGGGGCGUGCGCAAGUGUUUGCCGAGCCCUUCAGUGCCUCUCUUGCGGCCACUGCCCUCUUGCACAAAACUCAAAGCCAUUAAAUAAUGAAUCCAGCAUGUUAAAAGAUUCUGACAGCCUACACAAGUUAGUCCAGUCAUGGCUUAUAAAAUAAGGGCAUGGAAGGGGAUUUCUACAUGAUAAAUUGACUGAUUGAUUGGUCUUGGGUCUUUCCCAUUUCUAAAAGAACUGUACAUUGGUAUUUCCUGGAGGCAUAGCUACAAGUGUCGGAUGGAAAAGAGCUUUCUGAUAACAACUGUCACAAACAGAGAUUGUGGUUGAUGUAAAUAGUUCAGUAAUGCACCGAAAAAUCCUGUAGCCUAUGCAUAUAGGCCUAUAUAAAAGAGAACCAUGUUUGGACUUUUUGUGGUGUAAUUGUAAUUUGCCAAGGAGCUACAAUUUGAGCAUCCCGACCCUGCUAAUGCUUGGUGGCCUAGGGAGAUUUAAAGUCAAACAGGAUGGAAUCAACUAGGCCUGCUGGGGUGACCGUAUUAUCUCUACACCAGCAGUCAUGAGUCAAUAACAGGUUGAAACUGAGUGGAAAGCAUAGACGUAGUGAAUAUUGUUUCAGAGCCAAACACAACGAAAUGGACAGCGCUUUCUAAGGUGAUGAUUCAUUCAAAGCAUUUAAGAGGUUGCAUGUAGAACACCCAUAUGCAUAUUAGAGCUUAUGCAUACGUAUAGGCCUUUAUAUGAGCCCAAGCCUGCAAAAAAGGCUGAAUUAAAAUAAUGAUUGUUCCAUUAUACAACAAUUAUACCACAGCAUUGUUGAAUACUCGUUUCUGAUUGGCUAGAAGGGAAUUCUAGAAUGGACAUUAAAACUAGAUAAUGGGACAGUUGGAAAAGUAACCAGGACACCUUGCAAUCAUGAUGCAAUAUGCACGUGCACAUGCAGACCGUACUUGCUACAAAGUUACAGAAAGCUAAACCAACAAUCCCACAAACCCAAAUUGGAUAAGAAAGGGUCCAACGAAUAAAACGUAGCUAGCUAGCAACUGAUUUGUUUUUUUCAGAGACAUAAUGUUUUGGAACAUCUAAUGACCUAACGUAGUGAGUGAUGAAAAUGAAUUUCUCCGGUCCCUACUGUAGUCAUGACGCAAGUGGCGCUAUGAUGUCAAAUCCUCCCACAUUUCUAGUUUGACCAGCUAUUUCCAGCAAUUGAUAUUUUGAAUUUGGUUGUCAUAUUGGCAACAAACUAUUUAGCUAGCUUCUAGCCUAGUGUUUGAUAUGCAAUGUGAUCUCAUAAUGAACAGUGACGGCAAGUGCCCUGACAAGAAGGCACUAUACCAGGCAAAAUUGGGCAUCAUUAGCUCAUUGUCAUGGAUGUAUCCAAAUGAAUAUCAAAAGAAAACAGUUUAAACAAAUGCAAAUACUUUGCUGUUAAUCUGUCUGCAGAGGCCGUGACUGUGUUAGCCGAAACUAGUUGGCUACCUAGCAAGCAAGCAAGGGAUAAGAACGUUGCCGGUGAGCAUGGCAACGGAACAUAUAGAAUGAGCAACUAAAUAUAUAACUAAUCGAACAAACGACUGGGUCGCGUCUCUAGCAACCAAAGAUGACAAGAUGAGAUGAAGUAUGAAUUUACUAUUAAAAAUAUAAAACAAUUAUAAUAAUUAUACAAGUAAAUGUGUGCUUUAGUAUUGUUUUCUUUGGUAACUGUGGUAUAAGUGGGAUAAACGCCUCCGUUCCGUACAUUAACUUAAUGUAAUCAUGAUAGCUUUCCGACCCCAGUACAGCUCAGUGUACACAAGCGUAUUGGUAGGGUCGGUAUCUUCUGGCAAGGAGAGAACAUAUAGGCCUAGGCGAUGCGGUUGGUUCAUUGAUUUUGCAGGGCGGCUUGCAGAGUAGGCUAGCUAGCCUACAAUUACAGUGAAUUUGUAUUUGACAUUACAUUUUCAUAAUUAAAUAGGCUGACACAUUACAUUUAGCUACAGAAUAUCUCACCACUGUGUGUUUCCAUCUCCUCUUUUCUCCAUUCCUUUCUGGAGCACGCAGAGAGAGGGGCUGUCAACAGUUUAAAUAUGUUUUGUUAUGAAAGCAUUUUACUAUUGAUGUUCCCGAACAGAUUUCAUUUGAUUUCACAAAUUUAGCCCCCUUCCCCUUUUCCACAUUUCUUUUCCAUUACAGCCUUAUUCUAAAAUGGAUUAAAUAUUUUUUCCCCUA